Galeopterus variegatus (Sunda flying lemur) is the source of this 486-nucleotide non-coding RNA. The record is from the annotation of a RefSeq genome assembly. NCBI's taxonomy places the organism in Eukaryota, Metazoa, Chordata, Mammalia, Dermoptera, Cynocephalidae.
AUGGGUCCUGGGCUUGUCCACUGUGUGGCUCUUUGCCUCUUUGGAGCAGGCCACAUGGGUGCUAUGGUCAUCCAGAACCCAAGAUACCAGGUUACCAGGAUGGGAAAACCAGUGAACCUGAGUUGUUCUCAGGAUCUGAAUCAUGAUGUUAUGUACUGGUACCAGCAGCAGCGGAGCCAAGCUCCAAAGCUGCUGUUCUACUAUUAUGAUAAAGAAUUUAACAAAGAGACAGACACCUCUGAUAACUUCCAAUCCAGCCGGCCUAACACCUCUUUCUGCUCUCUGGGCAUCCGCUCACCAAGUGUGGAGGACUCAGCCGUGUACCUGUGUGCCAGCAGCAAAGACACAGAGCUGCAGCCUUACCUCCUGUCUGUUCAUAAACCUCUUUGUUCCCCAGGUCCAAGUGUCUUGUCCAACCACUUCCUUCUUAUAACAAUAGGAAGUGGGCUUGUGACUGCUGUUAUCUCAUUUGUAGACAGAAAUUGA